Molecule: long non-coding RNA, 900 nt
Organism: Astatotilapia calliptera (eastern happy)
Lineage: Eukaryota; Metazoa; Chordata; Actinopteri; Cichliformes; Cichlidae
Source: Ensembl
CCUGGGAACGCCUUGGUGUUCCCCCGGAUAAGCUGGAGGAGGUGGCUGGGGAGAGGGAGGUCUGGGCCUCUUUGCUUAGGCUGCUGCCCCCGCGACCCGGCUCCGGAUAAAGCGGAUGAAGAUGGAUGGAUGGAAGCGCGUCCAUGCUCACAGGUGAUCCAGGUGAUCGAUAGAUGCAUUUUUUUUUCUUUUUCUGCCCAUUCUGUUGGUUUUUGUUUUUUUGCCCUUCUCCCCUAUCCCUCUUCUCAGCUCUUUCUCUUUCUUUCUCCCCUUCUUUCCCCCAGUCAAGUCUGUCCCGUAUUCAACAAGUGAAAAUAAAAUAAACAAUAAAAGGUGAAUCAAAUGGACCAUUACGGCAAGGCUGGGAUGGUCAAUUUGGUAAAGUAAAUCCGUUGGGCAUCUUUCUUUGCCUUUAGACAAUAAUUCUGAUGGCAAAAGAGCCAAACGGGACAGGCAAAAAAAAAAAAAAAAAAGUCCUCUCUCCUCAACAUCUCUAUACAACCACAGAUAUGUCAUGUGGACCAACUGCCUUUCCUCUCUUCAUAGCUGCCUUCACUUCCUCCUUACUUAUCCCCUGCGCUUCCUGAUUCACUAACUUUCCUCCAUCUGUCCUCAGUUUCUGUCUUCAUUAAUGUCUUCAUUAAUGAAGACAGUGAGAGAAUACUUCUAUCUUCCAUCUUCUCAACACACUCUCUUCACCAUCUUUAUCCUUAAUCACUCUAACCUGCUGCACAUCCUUUUCAGCUCAAUCUCUGUAUAGCUAAUUCAUGCAAGUACUGUUCUCCUUCCUUAGUACCCAGCCUCACGUACAACUCAGUAUAAGCUUUUUCCUUUGCCACCUCUAUCUUUGCAGUAGGCCUGGCCUCCCAGUAUUCCUGUCUACUUUCUCCAUCUCCCCUG